GAGAGCACAGUACGAUGAAAGUUGUAAGCUGUGUUCGGGGGGGAGUUAUUGUCUAUCGUUGGCCUCUAUGGUAGAACCCGUCGGGGAGGCCUGAGAGGUGGUGGUUUACCC
This is a non-coding RNA of Hordeum vulgare subsp. vulgare (domesticated barley), 111 nucleotides long. Lineage: Eukaryota; Viridiplantae; Streptophyta; Magnoliopsida; Poales; Poaceae. The record is from Rfam.